This 251-nucleotide ribosomal RNA is filed under the name uncultured bacterium. Its description in RNAcentral is "partial 16S ribosomal RNA". It matches the Rfam family "Bacterial small subunit ribosomal RNA", at positions 524 to 774 of the family's 1533-position model. The record is from RNAcentral.
UACGUAGGUGGCAAGCGUUGUCCGGAUUUACUGGGUGUAAAGGGCGUGUAGGCGGGUCAGCAAGUCAGAUGUGAAAUCCCGGGGCUUAACUCCGGAACUGCAACUGAAACUGUAGAUCUUGAGUACUGGAGAGGAAAGUGGAAUUCCUAGUGUAGCGGUGAAAUGCAUAGAGAUUAGGAGGAACACCAGUGGCGAAGGCGGCUUUCUGGACAGUAACUGACGCUGAGGCGCGAAAGCGUGGGGAGCAAACA